GGGGGCAACAUAGUUCAGUGGGAGAGCGAUCUGUUUGGCACCCAGAAGGCCACAGGUUCAGUCCCUGGCGUCUCCA
This 76-nucleotide transfer RNA is filed under the name Sphaerodactylus townsendi. Its description in RNAcentral is "tRNA-Ala". The record is from RNAcentral. Lineage: Eukaryota; Metazoa; Chordata; Lepidosauria; Squamata; Sphaerodactylidae.